CGGUGCGACCAUACCAGCACUAACGCACCGGAUCCCAUCAGAACUCCGAAGUUAAGCGUGCUUGGGCGAGAGUAGUACUAGGAUGGGUGACCCCCUGGGAAGUCCUCGUGUUGCACCCC
RNAcentral lists this ribosomal RNA (119 nucleotides) under Olea europaea subsp. europaea. The record is from RNAcentral. Lineage: Eukaryota; Viridiplantae; Streptophyta; Magnoliopsida; Lamiales; Oleaceae.